GUUCUUUCAUGCUUGCUCUGGUAGGACAUAUACUAAAAGUGGGACAAGACAGAGAACAUUAGCAUGGCCCCUGUGCAAGGAUGAUAUGCAAAUUCAUGAAGCAUUCCAUUUUUNA
RNAcentral lists this small nuclear RNA (115 nucleotides) under Salvator merianae (Argentine black and white tegu). The record is from RNAcentral. Lineage: Eukaryota; Metazoa; Chordata; Lepidosauria; Squamata; Teiidae.